CAAGCACUUCGCUAGGUGGGCGUCUGACGGAUACAGGCCACUGACCUCGAACGUCGAAGACGCCACCGGGUCAGGACAGCUCUCCGGCUUAAGGUUGAGCCAAGUGGCUUCCGCUUGAAAGGGUCGGAUACGCCGUGUGGUGCCAAAGCUCUGACGAGAGGGUGCGCG
Molecule: small RNA, 168 nt
Filed under: Mycobacterium ulcerans
Lineage: Bacteria; Bacillati; Actinomycetota; Actinomycetes; Mycobacteriales; Mycobacteriaceae
Description: Magnesium sequence
Rfam family: M-box riboswitch aptamer (ykoK leader)
About the family: M-box riboswitch, also know as ykoK leader is described as a metaloregulatory RNA that sense divalent metals and function as a genetic control element of genes related to divalent metal transport in bacteria. It was first reported upstream of the B.subtilis ykoK gene and genes with related functions in other bacteria.
Source: RNAcentral